GAUGAACGCCGGCGGUGUGCCUAAUACAUGCAAGUCGAACGCAUUUUCUUUCACCGUAGCUUGCUACACCGAAAGAAAAUGAGUGGCGAACGGGUGAGUAACACGUGGGUAACCUGCCCAUCAGCGGGGGAUAACACUUGGAAACAGGUGCUAAUACCGCAUAAUUCCAUUUACCGCAUGGCAGAUGGAUGAAAGGCGCUUUUGCGUCACUGAUGGAUGGACCCGCGGUGCAUUAGCUAGUUGGUGGGGUAACGGCCUACCAAGGCUGCGAUGCAUAGCCGACCUGAGAGGGUGAUCGGCCACACUGGGACUGAGACACGGCCCAG
RNAcentral lists this ribosomal RNA (326 nucleotides) under uncultured bacterium. RNAcentral's name for it is "bacterial SSU rRNA". It matches the Rfam family "Bacterial small subunit ribosomal RNA", at positions 28 to 334 of the family's 1533-position model. The record is from RNAcentral.